This 65-nucleotide transfer RNA is filed under the name Deronectes moestus. RNAcentral's name for it is "tRNA-Asp". Lineage: Eukaryota; Metazoa; Arthropoda; Insecta; Coleoptera; Dytiscidae. The record is from RNAcentral.
AAGAAAUUAGUUAAACUAUAACAUUAGAAUGUCAAACUAAAAUUAUUAAAUAUUAAUAUUUCUUA